This 506-nucleotide ribosomal RNA is filed under the name uncultured bacterium. Its description in RNAcentral is "partial 16S ribosomal RNA". It matches the Rfam family "Bacterial small subunit ribosomal RNA", at positions 29 to 523 of the family's 1533-position model. The record is from RNAcentral.
AGUGAACGCUGGCGGUAGGCCUAACACAUGCAAGUCGAACGGCAGCACAGGAGAGCUUGCUCUCUGGGUGGCGAGUGGCGGACGGGUGAGGAAUACAUCGGAAUCUACUCUUUCGUGGGGGAUAACGUAGGGAAACUUACGCUAAUGCCGCAUACGACCUUCGGGUGAAAGCAGGGGACCUUCGGGCCUUGCGCGAUUGAAUGAGCCGAUGUCGGAUUAGCUAGUUGGCGGGGUAAAGGCCCACCAAGGCGACGAUCCGUAGCUGGUCUGAGAGGAGGAUCGGCCACACUGGAACUGAGACACGGACCAGACUCCGACGGGAGGCAGCAGUGGGGAAUAUUGGACAAUGGGCGCAAGCCUGAUCCAGCCAUACCGCGUGGGUGAAGAAGGCCUUCGGGUUGUAAAGCCCUUUUGUUGGGAAAGAAAAGCACUUGGUUAAUACCCUUGUGUUCUGACGGUACCCAAAGGAUAAGCACCGGCUAACUUCGUGCCAGCCGCCGCCAUAA